GACGAACGCUGGCGGCGUGCUUAACACAUGCAAGUCGAACGCUGAAGCUUGGUGCUUGCCCUGGGUGGAUGAGUGGCGAACGGGUGAGUAAUACGUGAGUAACCUGCCCUUGACUCUGGGAUAAGCCUGGGAAACUGGGUCUAAUACUGGAUACGACAUGCCACUGCAUGGUGGUGUGUGGAAAGGGUUCUGCUGGUUUUGGAUGGGCUCACGGCCUAUCAGCUUGUUGGUGGGGUAAUGGCCUACCAAGGCGACGACGGGUAGCCGGCCUGAGAGGGUGACCGGCCACACUGGGACUGAGACACGGCCCAGACUCCUACGGGAGGCAGCAGUGGGGAAUAUUGCACAAUGGGCGGAAGCCUGAUGCAGCGACGCCGCGUGAGGGAUGACGGCCUUCGGGUUGUAAACCUCUUUCAGCAAGGAAGAAGCGAGAGUGACGGUACGUGCAGAAGAAGCGCCGGCUAACUACGUG
This 472-nucleotide ribosomal RNA is filed under the name uncultured bacterium. RNAcentral's name for it is "partial 16S ribosomal RNA". It matches the Rfam family "Bacterial small subunit ribosomal RNA", at positions 28 to 507 of the family's 1533-position model. The record is from RNAcentral.